Molecule: long non-coding RNA, 520 nt
Organism: Frieseomelitta varia
Lineage: Eukaryota; Metazoa; Arthropoda; Insecta; Hymenoptera; Apidae
Exons: 3
Source: RefSeq, a predicted model, not a curated record
AACUUGUACUCUUUGUUGAUCUUACUUCAUUCAUGUUUGUUCAACGUACGAACUGUAUAUGUGCAAAUAUCUUUGAUCGAACUAAAUAUCGACAUUUUUUUUAUCGCGUUAGUCAAGUGAUCUGAUUGCGAGUGUGCGUGCAUGUUCCACGUAUUCCACGCCGGAUUAAUGAAGAAACACAUGCUACGCUAAAAAUAAAAUAUCGCUGAAAAUAAAUCUGCCGAUCUAUCAAGAUUUCGUAUUUACUAUGCUUUUUGCACCCGUUGAAAUAUUAUCGAGCACGGCUGACUCGAGGAUUGGUUCACAGUUCAGAUAAAAGUGAUAUCUGAGAACGCAAUACAAAACAAGCAAGAGAACAACCAUGAACAACAAAAACAAUGCCUUUAUCGUAAUAUGUUAUUGUUAAAGAAUUAAAUGGAGGCACACUCGAAACCAGAGAGUUAUCUGUCUGUUUUGUUGUUAACCACUCGAUUAUUUGUCGCAAUUACUAUUAAAAGAACAUUAUCAUAUAUGUUUCGCA